CCAGACGGUCGGAUGGCUGCGCGCGGACAAUGGGGAAACCCGUCCGCGUGAGGAAAGUCCGGGCUCCACGGGAAUACGGUGCCGGUUAACGACCGGCGGGGGUGACCCUAGGGAAAGUGCCACAGAAAGCAAACCGCCCGCCGCUCCGGCAACGGGGCGGCAGGUAAGGGUGAAAGGGUGCGGUAAGAGCGCACCGCGCGGCCGGUAACGGCGGCGGCAUGGUAAACCCCACCGGGAGCAAGACCGAGUAGGGGCGGCAUACGGCGAAUUUCCGCGUCGCCGCCCGGGUGGGUCGCGCGAGGCGUUCGGCGACGGACGUCCCAGAUGAAUGGCCAUCUCCCGCCUUUGCUUCGGCGAAUGCGGGGACAGAACCCGGCUUACAGACCGUCUGGCCUU
RNAcentral lists this RNase P RNA (396 nucleotides) under Alphaproteobacteria bacterium. RNAcentral describes it as "RNase P RNA component class A". It matches the Rfam family "Bacterial RNase P class A". Rfam says of the family: Ribonuclease P (RNase P) is a ubiquitous endoribonuclease, found in archaea, bacteria and eukarya as well as chloroplasts and mitochondria. Its best characterised activity is the generation of mature 5'-ends of tRNAs by cleaving the 5'-leader elements of precursor-tRNAs. The record is from RNAcentral. Lineage: Bacteria; Pseudomonadati; Pseudomonadota; Alphaproteobacteria. RNAcentral also lists the same sequence under 1 other name.